CCUACGUGGAGCAGCAGUGAGGAAUAUUGGUCAAUGGGCGCGAGCCUGAACCAGCCAAGUAGCGUGAAGGAUGACUGCCCUACGGGUUGUAAACUUCUUUUAUAAAGGAAUAAAGUGAGGCACGUGUGCCUUUUUGUAUGUACUUUAUGAAUAAGGAUCGGCUAACUCCGUGCCAGCAGCCGCGGUAAUACGGAGGCUCCGAGCGUUAUCCGGAUUUAUUGGGUUUAAAGGGAGCGUAGAUGGGUUGUUAAGUCAGUUGUGAAAGUUUGCGGCUCAACCGUAAAAUUGCAAUUGAUACUGGCAGUCUUGAGUACAGUUGAGGUAGGCGGAAUUCGUGGUGUAGCGGUGAAAUGCUUAGAUAUCACGAAGAACUCCGAUUGCGAAGGCAGCUUACUAAACUGCCACUGACAUUGAUGCUCGAAAGUGUGGGUAUCAAACAGGAUUAGAUACCCCUGUAGUC
Molecule: ribosomal RNA, 460 nt
Filed under: uncultured bacterium
Lineage: Bacteria
Description: partial 16S ribosomal RNA
Rfam family: Bacterial small subunit ribosomal RNA
Source: RNAcentral